UACGUAGGGGGCAAGCGUUGUCCGAAUUUAUUGGGCGUAAAGAGCGUGUAGGCGGCUUUACAGGUCCGUUGUGAAAGUCAGGGGCUCAACCCUUGAAUGCCGGCGGAUACUGUCGGGCUAGAGUCCGGAAGAGGCAAGUGGAAUUCCCGGUGUAGCGGUGAAAUGCGCAGAUAUCGGGAGGAACACCUAUGGCGAAGGCAGCUUGCUGGGACGGUACUGACGCUGAGACGCGAAAGCGUGGGGAGCAAACAGG
This 253-nucleotide ribosomal RNA is filed under the name uncultured bacterium. RNAcentral describes it as "partial 16S ribosomal RNA". It matches the Rfam family "Bacterial small subunit ribosomal RNA", at positions 524 to 776 of the family's 1533-position model. The record is from RNAcentral.